This 301-nucleotide ribosomal RNA is filed under the name uncultured bacterium. RNAcentral describes it as "partial 16S ribosomal RNA". It matches the Rfam family "Bacterial small subunit ribosomal RNA", at positions 509 to 809 of the family's 1533-position model. The record is from RNAcentral.
CAGUCGCCACGGGAAUACGUAGGGUGCAAGCGUUAAUCGGAAUUACUGGGCGUAAAGCGUGCGCAGGCGGUUUGUUAAGACAGAUGUGAAAUCCCCGGGCUCAACCUGGGAACUGCAUUUGUGACUGGCAAGCUAGAGUCUGGCAGAGGGGGGUGGAAUUCCGCGUGUAGCAGUGAAAUGCGUAGAUAUGCGGAGGAACACCGAUGGCGAAGGCAGCCCCAUGGGCCAACACUGACGCUCAUGCACGAAAGCGUGGGGAGCAAACAGGAUUAGAUACCCCCGUAGUCCCUGUCUCUUAUAA